This 87-nucleotide transfer RNA is filed under the name Cupriavidus sp. USMAA2-4. It matches the Rfam family "tRNA". From Rfam's summary of the family: Transfer RNA (tRNA) molecules are approximately 80 nucleotides in length. Their secondary structure includes four short double-helical elements and three loops (D, anti-codon, and T loops). Lineage: Bacteria; Pseudomonadati; Pseudomonadota; Betaproteobacteria; Burkholderiales; Burkholderiaceae. The record is from Rfam by way of RNAcentral.
GGAGAGGUGGCAGAGUGGUCGAUUGUACCUGACUCGAAAUCAGGCGUACGUGCAAGCGUACCGAGGGUUCGAAUCCCUCCCUCUCCG